CACGAACUGAAUCUCUGGGACCAAUAAGCCACAUUGUGCAGGGAUUGGUCUUAUCUACCAGGAGAGACCUCUGUAAAGGACUGUAAAGUGGAUCAGCCAAUUCUUUGCCACACCUUCAACAACCUGAUGAACAGAACUGAGGAUGGUUUGCUCUUCUGGCUCUUUGGAUGGAUACAGAUGCUGAUAGGAGGAACCAGAAUUACUUCUCCAACUGUGAAUCAGUACAGAAGACCAGUACAAGAUCCAGAACCUAAAAGAUUGACCCAGUUAUUCCUACUAAGAGGAGUAGUAUUCCCAGUUAGCUCUUUGUGAAC
RNAcentral lists this long non-coding RNA (314 nucleotides) under Bubo bubo (Eurasian eagle-owl). RNAcentral's name for it is "lncRNA (ENSBOBG00000012329.1)". The record is from RNAcentral. Lineage: Eukaryota; Metazoa; Chordata; Aves; Strigiformes; Strigidae.